AUGCAGUCGAGCGGUAGCACAGGGGAGCUUGCUCCCUGGGUGACGAGCGGCGGACGGGUGAGUAAUGUCUGGGAAACUGCCUGAUGGAGGGGGAUAACUACUGGAAACGGUAGCUAAUACCGCAUAACGUCGCAAGACCAAAGAGGGGGACCUUCGGGCCUCUUGCCAUCAGAUGUGCCCAGAUGGGAUUAGCUAGUAGGUGGGGUAAUGGCUCACCUAGGCGACGAUCCCUAGCUGGUCUGAGAGGAUGACCAGCCACACUGGAACUGAGACACGGUCCAGACUCCUACGGGAGGCAGCAGUGGGGAAUAUUGCACAAUGGGCGCAAGCCUGAUGCAGCCAUGCCGCGUGUGUGAAGAAGGCCUUCGGGUUGUAAAGCACUUUCAGCGAGGAGGAAGGUGGUGAGCUUAAUACGCUCAUCAAUUGACGUUACUCGCAGAAGAAGCACCGGCUAACUCCGUGCCAGCAGCCGCGGUAAUACGGAGGGUGCAAGCGUUAAUCGGAAUUACUGGGCGUAAAGCGCACGCAGGCGGUUUGUUAAGUCAGAUGUGAAAUCCCCGGGCUCAACCUGGGAACUGCAUUUGAAACUGGCAAGCUAGA
RNAcentral lists this ribosomal RNA (600 nucleotides) under Serratia marcescens. Its description in RNAcentral is "bacterial SSU rRNA". It matches the Rfam family "Bacterial small subunit ribosomal RNA", at positions 55 to 645 of the family's 1533-position model. Lineage: Bacteria; Pseudomonadati; Pseudomonadota; Gammaproteobacteria; Enterobacterales; Yersiniaceae. The record is from RNAcentral.